ACCAUGCAUACGUGCAUAUUACCACAACGCAGAAGACGGUCGGUACAUCAGCACAUGAACACUAUCGUCCUCUACUACACACAUAGAGUUCGUUUUGAGGGAUCUGACUGAAGAAACGAGACAAUGAAAACACCAAAAGAAGACGUUGAUCGUGGAUAUGCCUGGGUGGUUCUUGCUGCCUGCUUUGCCAUUGAGGUUCUCUAUGGCGCUUUGAUCUGCUCUGUUGGGGUGAUUACACCGGCGAUUCUGGAGGAGAUUGACGGUGAUUUGGUCAAAGUGUCCUGGAUAGGAUCAACUCUGUUGGGGACAUUUACAAUGUGUGGUAAAUAUGAACAAGAAGCUACAUACGCCAAGUCACCACAUAAUGAUAAAAGUGGUUGUGCAGGUGCCGCCCCGGAGCGCCUAGCCAAACCGUAGCCUGUUAAAGGGACCAUUCAUCGGAAUGGUCGAAGGCCGACUGGGACACAGAUUGGCCAGUUUUGUUGGUGGCAUCCUGAUACUUCUGGGACUUACAUCCGCAUCCUUCUGCAGAACUGUCACCGGAUUAAUCCUCACGUUCGGCGUCAUAACGGGUUUAGGUUGCGGUCUGGCAGCUAAUGUGAGUGGCGUGGCUCCCGGUGACUACUUCAAUAAAAGACUACCCGCAGCAUAUGGUAUUUGCAUGUCUGGAGGUGCAUUAGGACUACUUGUAGUCGGCCCCUUAACUAUAUUUCUAUUAGAUCUGUACACCCUAUCCGGAACGUUGCUCAUUUUGGGUGCCAUCGGAUUUCAUGUGUGCUCAGCUGGAGUUCUAAUUAGACCAUCGUCAACACUGAAGCCAGAGAAGUCAAUUUCGGUGCAACCUGAUUGUGAAGAUGGGACUGAAGAGUGUGUUGAUGCACCUCAAGACCCUGCUGAGCUUAAUUGUGUGCCAAAAACAGAUGAUCCAUGUGCACAAAAUGAGACUACUGUUACAGUUUUCCUUCAGGGCGAUGAUGACAGACAUACCUGUUCACAAACAGAUGAUAAUGAAGACACAGACGUACGAAGUCCUGACUCUGGUUUUAUUACUAAAGAAGACAAUUUUAGAGCAGCAAAUACAACUGUUGCACCCCUGCUGGAACAGAACUCACGUUCACCAAAGAAAGAUUCAUGGUGCGGGGCAAUACGAGAAAGUGUAACUCUGUUUGGUGCAAAUGGAUUCUUCCUCUACCUCCUCAGUGUUCUAUUUUGGUCUCUUUCAGAAGCUACCUGCAUGGUUCAUUUACCAAAUUAUGCCGAAUAUAAAGGUAGUACACCUGCACAGUCAGCUAGUCUGUUUACUGGAAUGGGUGUUUCCGCCCUUUUCUCCGGAAUGCUUGCUGGUUUUGCGUCAUCUGACAAAUCUAUCGGAAACAUCCUACUUCAUGUUGGACUGCAAGGAAUGUCAGGGAUAUCAAUUAUGAUACUCCCUGUGCUAUCACAUACGUACCAUCUCCAAAUGGUUGCCUGUGUAUUAUAUGGUACAUACAGUCAAGGACCGUACACGUUAGUGAGUCCCAUAUGUAUUGAACUGAUAGGCCGAUCUAAACUAGCCGUUGCCUAUGGAAUGUGGUCUUUUGUCUUAGGAAUCGGCUUAAUGUUUGGGCCACCUAUUGCAAGUCUAAUUUAUGAAAGCAGCGGAGAUUAUGACAACACGUUUAUUUUUGCGGGAUGUUGUAACCUCGCCAGUGCCGUCUUUGCCAUGUGCAUACCUCUGUGCAAAAGGAAUAUAUGAGUGUGUGUGUGUGUGUGUAGUCACGGGACAGAUCUGAUGCCUUUUGGAUGCAAGAUUAUUGAACGUGAUUUCACAAUGGACUCUUUCCAAAACUAUAUGACGGCGAUCUGUAAAUAAUCAAGUCUGGACCAGACAAUCCAGUGAUUGACAUCAUGAGCAUCGAUCCACGCAGUUGGGAUACGAUGACAUGCAUUCACGACAAGGGAAGAGUUAUCUUUUGUAUGCAGUGUAUAAGUGAUAUCCCAUGUUUCAGAGCUGAUAAUGAAUACAAAAGUAAAAACAUAUACAAUAUUCAAUAUAACAAUUGAAUUGUUGAACAACAAACAAACAAAAGUAAAGCUUUCACGUUUUGUGGAAGAUGUGUGGCACAUAUGAUGCUCAAGUGACCAAAAUGAUGUCCGUUGCAAUUCCUUACUCUUCCUAUUGUCAUUUGUUUCCAUAGCGUCAUCUCAGUAAUUAAAUAUAUAUUAA
Molecule: RNA transcript, 2206 nt
Organism: Haliotis rufescens (red abalone)
Lineage: Eukaryota; Metazoa; Mollusca; Gastropoda; Lepetellida; Haliotidae
Gene name: monocarboxylate transporter 12-like
Exons: 8
Source: RefSeq, a predicted model, not a curated record